This 65-nucleotide transfer RNA is filed under the name Cladonota sp. CPL-2004. RNAcentral describes it as "tRNA-Leu". The record is from RNAcentral. Lineage: Eukaryota; Metazoa; Arthropoda; Insecta; Hemiptera; Membracidae.
UCUAAUGUGGCAGACAAUUGCAAUGAAUUUAAGAUUCAUAUAUAAGUAUAUGUAUUUCUUUAGAA